CAGUCGCCGCGGGAAUACGUAGGGUGCGAGCGUUGUCCGGAUUUAUUGGGCGUAAAGAGCUUGUAGGCGGUUUGUCGCGUCGGGAGUGAAGACUCGGGGCUUAACUCCGAGCUUGCUUUCGAUACGGGCUGACUUGAGGGAGGUAGGGGAGAAUGGAAUUCCUGGUGGAGCGGUGGAAUGCGCAGAUAUCAGGAGGAACACCGGUGGCGAAGGCGGUUCUCUGGACCUUUCCUGACGCUGAGAAGCGAAAGCGUGGGGAGCGAACAGGCUUAGAUACCCGGGUAGUCCCUGUCUCUUAUAA
RNAcentral lists this ribosomal RNA (301 nucleotides) under uncultured bacterium. Its description in RNAcentral is "partial 16S ribosomal RNA". It matches the Rfam family "Bacterial small subunit ribosomal RNA", at positions 509 to 809 of the family's 1533-position model. The record is from RNAcentral.